Long non-coding RNA from Lytechinus pictus (painted urchin), 752 nucleotides. RefSeq lists it as uncharacterized. NCBI's taxonomy places the organism in Eukaryota, Metazoa, Echinodermata, Echinoidea, Temnopleuroida, Toxopneustidae. The record is from RefSeq and is a predicted model, not a curated record. The transcript has 3 exons.
UAAUUUGAAAAAGGAAUGCGCUCGUUUUUCGCCGUUAAAUGUUGCAGCCUAAUUUUGGAUCGAGAAUUAAGUGCGACGAAGAUGGCCGUUAAUAAUAGUUCUACUACUUUAAGAACACGGUUCAGAUUUGGAUAACGACUUCGAAGGCAUUCGCAGGAGACCAAACAGAGAAAGAGAGGGAGACACAAAACCACCUGUCUCGGUGUCACACAUGAGGAGUUGAGGAGGAGAUGAAGUCAGUGAAUAUGACCUGGCCUGGGGGAGUUUCCAGAAGAAGGCCCAGAAUCACUGGAUGCCAGGAGUGGAGAUCCUUCGUUGCUGCCCUACAUGAUAGGAGGCAUCGGGCAGUAGAUGCUGUAAUUUGAAACGGAAGGUGUCCUGCCAAUAAAUUUUCAUCCCUCCUGAACUGCCUUGCCUGUCUGCACCCAGUCAUCUGUUCCUGAGCAUUUUCAUUUUCCUCUAUUUUUCAUCAUCGUUUGUUUCGGCCUGUAUGAAGUGAAUUUCACAUUGAUUGGUGGAGCUGCUAAGUUGGCAUUACAGGGCCACGCCGGGGUAUGAUCCUUUGGGUUGAACAUCAUGACUGCUAGUUGGUCGGCAAAGGUGAUGGGAUCGAUCAAUGUCACAUGGAGUAAGAUCGAUACCAAUCUGCUUUGCUACAUUUCGAACAAUCUCAUACGGAUACGGAUAUUAUUGCGACAGGAGUACUGCUCGAUGUGGUCAAGCCUAUUUGACAAAGCAGUAUGGUGUUAGUC